GUGUCAGCCGCCGCGGUAAUACGUAGGGUGCGAGCGUUAAUCGGAAUUACUGGGCGUAAAGCGUGCGCAGGCGGUUGUGUAAGACAGGUGUGAAAUCCCCGGGCUCAACCUGGGAACUGCGCUUGUGACUGCACGGCUAGAGUACGGCAGAGGGGGGUGGAAUUCCUGGUGUAGCAGUGAAAUGCGUAGAUAUCAGGAGGAACAUCGAUGGCGAAGGCAGCCCCCUGGGCCGAUACUGACGCUCAUGCACGAAAGCGUGGGGAGCAAACAGGAUUAGAUACCCUCGUAGUCC
This 292-nucleotide ribosomal RNA is filed under the name uncultured bacterium. RNAcentral's name for it is "partial 16S ribosomal RNA". It matches the Rfam family "Bacterial small subunit ribosomal RNA", at positions 505 to 796 of the family's 1533-position model. The record is from RNAcentral.